Molecule: small RNA, 895 nt
Filed under: Phoma herbarum
Lineage: Eukaryota; Fungi; Ascomycota; Dothideomycetes; Pleosporales; Didymellaceae
Description: eukaryotic LSU rRNA
Rfam family: Eukaryotic large subunit ribosomal RNA
Source: RNAcentral
AUCAAUAAGCGGAGGAAAAGAAACCAACAGGGAUUGCCCUAGUAACGGCGAGUGAAGCGGCAACAGCUCAAAUUUGAAAUCUGGCGUCUUCGGCGUCCGAGUUGUAAUUUGCAGAGGGCGCUUUGGCAUUGGCAGCGGUCCAAGUUCCUUGGAACAGGACGUCACAGAGGGUGAGAAUCCCGUACGUGGUCGCUAGCCUUUACCGUGUAAAGCCCCUUCGACGAGUCGAGUUGUUUGGGAAUGCAGCUCUAAAUGGGAGGUAAAUUUCUUCUAAAGCUAAAUACUGGCCAGAGACCGAUAGCGCACAAGUAGAGUGAUCGAAAGAUGAAAAGCACUUUGGAAAGAGAGUUAAAAAGCACGUGAAAUUGUUGAAAGGGAAGCGCUUGCAGCCAGACUUGCCUGUAGUUGCUCAUCCGGGUUUUUACCCGGUGCACUCUUCUAUAGGCAGGCCAGCAUCAGUUUGGGCGGUUGGAUAAAGGUCUCUGUCAUGUACCUCUCUUCGGGGAGAACUUAUAGGGGAGACGACAUGCAACCAGCCUGGACUGAGGUCCGCGCAUCUGCUAGGAUGCUGGCGUAAUGGCUGUAAGCGGCCCGUCUUGAAACACGGACCAAGGAGUCUAACAUCUAUGCGAGUGUUUGGGUGUCAAGCCCGAGCGCGUAAUGAAAGUGAACGGAGGUGGGAACCUUUCGGGGUGCACCAUCGACCGAUCCUGAUGUCUUCGGAUGGAUUUGAGUAAGAGCAUAGCUGUUGGGACCCGAAAGAUGGUGAACUAUGCUUGAAUAGGGUGAAGCCAGAGGAAACUCUGGUGGAGGCUCGCAGCGGUUCUGACGUGCAAAUCGAUCGUCAAAUUUGGGCAUAGGGGCGAAAGACUAAUCGAACUAUCUAGUAGCUGGG